This 333-nucleotide ribosomal RNA is filed under the name Boophis elenae. RNAcentral describes it as "partial 16S ribosomal RNA". It matches the Rfam family "Bacterial large subunit ribosomal RNA", at positions 1949 to 2431 of the family's 2925-position model. Lineage: Eukaryota; Metazoa; Chordata; Amphibia; Anura; Mantellidae. The record is from RNAcentral.
UGCAAAGGUAGCACAAUCACUUGUUCUUUAAAUGAGGACUAGAAUCAACGGCAUCACGAGGAUCCCACUGUCUCCCCCCUCCAAUCAGUGAAACUGAUCUCUCCGUGAAGAAGCGGGGAUAUAAAUAUAAGACGAGAAGACCCCAUGGAGCUUUAAACCCAACAGCACCCGUUUAUUUUCAUCCUCACAUAAGUUAGGUUAUGCCUGUUUGGUUUUAGGUUGGGGUGACCACGGAGUAUAAAACAACCUCCAUGAAAAAAGGACCAAAAAUCCUUAUUAGAGAAAGACAUUUCUAAAAUUAAUAAAUUAAUUUUUAAUGAUCCGAUAUUCGAU